AGGGGGAGGCCGGAUCCUGGGCUGUGUCCCCGGCGCCCUGUGCUCUGGGGCCUGCGCUCCUGGCCAGGCAGCCCCUU
RNAcentral lists this microRNA precursor (77 nucleotides) under Canis lupus familiaris (dog). Its description in RNAcentral is "mir-8799 microRNA precursor family". It matches the Rfam family "mir-8799 microRNA precursor family". The record is from Rfam by way of RNAcentral. Lineage: Eukaryota; Metazoa; Chordata; Mammalia; Carnivora; Canidae. RNAcentral also lists the same sequence under 1 other name.